RNAcentral lists this ribosomal RNA (253 nucleotides) under uncultured bacterium. Its description in RNAcentral is "partial 16S ribosomal RNA". It matches the Rfam family "Bacterial small subunit ribosomal RNA", at positions 524 to 776 of the family's 1533-position model. The record is from RNAcentral.
UACGGGGGGGGCAAGCGUUGUUCGGAAUUACUGGGCGUAAAGGGCUCGUAGGCGGCCAACUAAGUCAUACGUGAAAUCCCUCAGCUUAACUGGGGAACUGCGUCCGAUACUGGAUGGCUCGAGUUUGGGAGAGGGAUGCGGAAUUCCAGGUGUAGCGGUGAAAUGCGUAGAUAUCUGGAGGAACACCGGUGGCGAAGGCGGCAUCCUGGACCAACACUGACACUGAGGAGCGAAAGCCAGGGGAGCAAACGGG